CCAUGUGACUCCUCGUAAGAGAUUGAGGAUCAUAGAUACUAGAAAAUCCAACUGCCCAGAGACUUUAAAUAUGAAGUGUAUAAGGGUGUAUCCUGAUUACAGUAUGCAUUCAGCAACUGAACACAGGGAUACCAAGGCAAAAAAACAUUUGGCAUUGCCGUGCCCGCCUAAGAGCUACCGACGUUAUUAUUUGACUGAUUUGUUGAAAUUAAUUUCACUGGGACACACAUACCAGGUCAAAUGAAUACUACAUCUUACCCCACAGAUAAAACGAUUUACAGUCACAUUUAUCGGACCCUUUAUGGUACAAAUAAAGUAUUGUUUGACGACACUAGACUGCAGAAUCAGGUUGAUGAGUGGCACAAAGACUCGAGCAAUCACUUGAUUUAUUAUAGACAUUGUACGGGAGCCAAUGGAGAAGUGAAACCAUUACUUUCUUGCUAUCAGAGCAGUUGGCAGAGAGAUCUUUUGAAGAAGUAUGGGGGUAGUUGUUUGUUAGAUGCAGCAUACAAAACAACAACAUAUGAUGAUCCUUUAUUUUUUAUAGCUGUGAAGAGUAAUGUGGGCUAUUUAGUCGUCGUUUUUUUUUUUUUUUUUCCCAUUCAGAUUGAAAAUGCAAGGUCCAUUCAUGAAGCACUAGACAUUUUCAAGGACUGGAACAAGGUUUGGAAUCCCAUCUAUUGGGUUACUGAUUUCUUGGAGUCAGAGAGAAAUGCAAUUGAGCAAGCAUUCCCUCAGACAAAAGUUUACUUGUGCCUUUUACAUCGAAAACAGGCAUGGGGAAGAUGGUUGAAAAAAAAAGGAUAAUCUACGUGUACCAAAUGACAUGAAGACAUUUCUGGAUAUGUGGCAAGAAAUUUCAGAAUCACCAACAGAGAGAGAAUUUAGAGAUCGCGUAGAAGAGUUGCGAAUGCAUGAGGUUUCUCGGAGAAACGAGCGUGCAUGGCCAUACUUUAAACAGCAAUGGCUAAUGGUAUGUGAAAGAUGGGUGAAAGUGUAUGAGGACAAGGGCAGAUUUGCAACCAUUGACACUACAAAUGGAGUUGAAGCCAUGAACAAGGUUGUAAAACAUUUUUUUUCCUUAAGCGCAAUUCAGACAGGACUUUAACUGGGGUUACUAAGGUUACAAUAAACCAGUUUCUUCCAAGCCUAAUUAGAAAAUACUGUAUGCAGAAUUCUGACAUCAAAUCUUAUAACAAAGAUGUUUCUCUGUUUUUGCAUAAAAAAAUCAAACAAGUUUGUGAAACGUGUCAUGCAGCGAUAUGCAUCAGCAAAAGUUGAGUUAACUGCAAGAUCAGUGAGUAGGAGAUCGGAUGGUUCAUUUUGUGUGGAGAGUGCAAAGUCCAAAAACUGUAAUUAUGUUGUAACUUUUGAUAUACGAGAUUGCACAUGUGAAGAUUUUCGGAGAUAUAAAUACCCAUGCAAGUAUUUCUGUGCAAUCUUUAUUUUUUACCCAGAGUGGAGUUUUGAUAAAAUGCCAGAAAGUUAUAAGACUAGUCCAUUAAUCUGUCUUGAUGAAAUGUAUGGGGUGGGCUUUAGAAGUGGCUCUUCAGUAAUUUCAUAUGAAGGCAGUAGUAGUGACGAAGCUGUUGAGGAGGCAGUUAAGGCAUCUGAGGAGGCUGUCGAGGCAUCAAAUACAGAUGGUCUAGUUCAAACCCAGAAUAUUCCUAUGCAGCAGUUUGCAGCAAGGGAGUUGUGUAAACAGAUCUAUAAUCUCACAUACAACUGCAGCAACAGUGAAAAAUUACAGAAAGUACAUGAAUCACUGAGCAACUGUGUGCAAGAUUUGCAAUUAGCAAAUCCUGAAGUUGGUGGUCUCCCAUUAGCAGUGCCAUCAACUUCCAAACAAUAGCAAAGAACGAUGUCAAAAGCCUUACAAGAUCUGUCUUAAACACAUUAAAACUUACCAUUUGAAGGGUGAGAAAUGACUGUUUGUUUCAAUUUUAGAUAGCUCUUUGUCUAUGUAAAAUACAAAUAAGCUCAGUCAUUUCUUAUCCUCGAGAUGGAAUGCUAUGAGGUCUUUAUGUUGGUCUCCGAUUUUAAACUUUGAUGCAAAUUUGAAUUUCGAAGUAGCAAUAGAUGAAAUAUUAUAAAAAGGAUAGUUGCUACAUGUGUGUGUGAGUGACUGAGUGAGUGCACGCGCGCGCUUUUGAAAAGGCCCUUGUUGCCCGAAAGAUAAUUCCAACAAUCUUUUUGUUGUGCCUUUGUGACUCAGCAUCUUCACUAUUUGGUGAGCAGCAACAACUAUCCUUUUCAUAAUAUUGUUACAUUCCAUCCUGGAUUUUUCACUGUUCAUCAGAGAAAAGAUUUUUCUGAGGAAUUAAACUAGAUGGUAGUGUAGAACUUGCGAACUUUUUAAAAUAUGAAGUAAAAGAUUUUAACUUUAAAUUAGGUUAAUUCAAAUAUGGGACAAUGUUGGGAGUUGAAAAGGUGGAAAAAAUAAAUAAGAUAUAUCUUAGUGGCAUUGAGAUGACAUAUGAGUGAUGGAGGAAAGAUUUUGCAUUUCUUUUUCCAAGUAAGAAUGCACUUGCUCUCACUUGCUUCAAUACAUGUAUAGUGAUUCAUGUGAAACAGAGAAAAAGAUAAAGACUGCCCUGUUAAUGAACACGUGAGAUUGCCCAGUAUCACUCUGACAGAAGAGUAUAGUGUUUCCUUGAUGUGGAAUCUGGUCAGCAACAUCAUUGGGACCAAUGAAAUACCACGCAGAAGCAAUUACUGUUACUGGAAUACCAGUAAUGUUCAUUAAAUUCAGUUCUAAACUAGUUUUGGGCAUUGCACCUGGUGAGCAAUGUCAUCGGGCAGCAAAAGAAGUUCAGUUAUGAUGGAUUUCUGGCCUUCAGUCCAUGGGAAACUUCACACCAAGAUUGCAUCAAGACUGUUAUACUCCAAGGAUAUCUUGGAAGAUUGAUAGUAUUCCUGAAGGAAAACAAUCCAUAUAGUGUUUCACGUGUGUAUCAAACUGCCAUUUGUUGUGGCACAUAAAUGUUUCCAACUUGACUGUAAUUUGUGAACAGUUUCUCAACAAUCCAAGAAUUUCUUGUAAUUAGAAGUAGACAUUGUUGCUUGGUUAAAAGAAGUACCUUAUUAACUUUCCACAGAGAAAUAUUUUUCACUACUGCUACUUAAAAAUUCAAAUGUGUGACAGUUUGCUUACAGAACUUGGCAUAAAGAUCUCCCUUACUUGUAUUUUUAGAUAGCUCUUAUUGUUUGAUCCUUCAAAUGGAAUGCUAUGACCUCCAUGUGAUCUAUUCCUUAAUAGUUAAUUAUCCAUUAAGGCACAAAUAUAUGAACAUUACAAUGAGAGAGGUCUUUAUGCCAGGCCCUGUAAAAGUAAUGGCAUCUUACUUAAUAUUAUUGUUGGCAUUUGAUGGCACAGCUGUUUGGAGACCACAAAUUUGAGGGUUUGCUAACUGCAAAUCUAGCACACAGUUGCUGAGUGAUUAAGUACUUUUCAUAAUGUUUUACUGUUGACACAGUUGUAUGUGAGAUUAUAAACCUGUUUGAACAACACCUUCACUUCAAAUUGCUGCAAAGAAAUGGUUAAGGUAUCAGUUGAUGCUCUAUGUGUGUUUCCUCAACUGUGUCCUCAUUGCUACUGUCUUCAUGCGAAAUUACUGCAGACACACUUCUGAAACCAAACCUGUACAUCUCGUGAAGACAGAUUAAUUGGCUAUUCCUGUGGCUUUCUAGUAUUUUAUCAAAACCCCACUCUGGAUAGAAAAUAAAGAUUGCACAGAACUGUUUGCAUGGGUAUUUAUAUAUCUCAAAAUCUUCACAUGCGCAGUUUGGUAGAGCAAAGCUUACAACAUAAUUACAGUCUUUGAACAUCGUACUCUCCAUACAAAACAUUGUCCAACUUCACAUUCACUAAUCUUGCAGUUAACUCAACUUUCCCUGGUGCAUAUCACUGCAUGGAAUGUUUCACAAACUUGCUUGAAAAAAGAAAAUGAAAAAGAAAAAACAGUGGAACAUCUCUGCAGAAUUCUGCAAUCAAAUAAUUACAGACAGUACUUUCUGAUUAGGCUUGGAAGAAAUUGAUUUCUUAUACCCAUAGUAGCCCCAUUCAAGGUCCCAUCUGUAUUCCCUUUUAGGAAAAAAAAUGUUUACAAUCUUGUUCAUGGCUUCAACUUCACUUGUCAAUGGUAUCAAAAUUGCCCUUGUCCUCAUAAGCUUCCACUCUCUUUUCAUGUACCAGUAGCCACUGCUGUUAAACGUACGGUGAUGCAUAUUCAUUUCUCUGAGAAGCCUCACUAUCUCUUCUGUAUGAUCUGUAAAUUCUCUGUUUGUGAUUCUGAAAUUUCUUGCCCCAUGCCCAGAAAUCUCUUCAUGUCAUUUGGUAUAUAUUCAGCCAUCUUCCUCAAACCUGUUUCAGACUGAAAAGGCACAAGUAAACUUUUGUGUGAGGGGAAAUGCUUGAUGAGUUGUGUUUAUCUCAGACUGUUGAGAAAUCAGUAACCCAGUAGAUGGGAUUCCAAUCCUUGAAAAUGGCUAGUGCUUCAUGAAUGGAUCUCGCAUUUCAAACCUUGAAUGAAAAAGAAAACCAAAUAACCCACAUUACUCUUUGCAGCUAUAAAAAAAAAGAAAGGCAUAUCAUGUGUUGUUGUUUUGUAUGUUGCAUAUAACAACUAUCCCUGUACUUCUUCAAAAGUGAUGGUUUCACUCCUCCAUUGGCACCUAUGCCAUGUUUGUAAUAAAUCAUGUGAUUGCUUUAUUCCUUGUGCCACUCAUCAGCAUGAUCCUGCAAUCUAGUCUCGUCAAACAAUGCUUUAUUUGUACAUUACAAGGUCCAAUAUGUGUGAAUAUAAUUUUUUCAGUGGGGUAAAAUGUAGUAUUCAUUAGA
Molecule: long non-coding RNA, 4840 nt
Organism: Schistocerca gregaria
Lineage: Eukaryota; Metazoa; Arthropoda; Insecta; Orthoptera; Acrididae
Exons: 4
Source: RefSeq, a predicted model, not a curated record